Molecule: ribosomal RNA, 528 nt
Filed under: Haemophilus quentini
Lineage: Bacteria; Pseudomonadati; Pseudomonadota; Gammaproteobacteria; Pasteurellales; Pasteurellaceae
Description: bacterial SSU rRNA
Rfam family: Bacterial small subunit ribosomal RNA
Source: RNAcentral
UGGAGAGUUUGAUCCUGGCUCAGAUUGAACGCUGGCGGCAGGCUUAACACAUGCAAGUCGAACGGUAGCAGGAGAAAGCUUGCUUUCUUGCUGACGAGUGGCGGACGGGUGAGUAAUGCUUGGGAAUCUGGCUUAUGGAGGGGGAUAACUACGGGAAACUGUAGCUAAUACCGCGUAAUAUCGAAAGAUUAAAGUGUGGGACCUUCGGGCCACAUGCCAUAAGAUGAGCCCAAGUGGGAUUAGGUAGUUGGUGAGGUAAAGGCUCACCAAGCCUGCGAUCUCUAGCUGGUCUGAGAGGAUGGCCAGCCACACUGGAACUGAGAGACGGUCCAGACUCCUACGGGAGGCAGCAGUGGGGAAUAUUGCGCAAUGGGGGGAACCCUGACGCAGCCAUGCCGCGUGAAUGAAGAAGGCCUUCGGGUUGUAAAGUUCUUUCGGUAUUGAGGAAGGGAUGUGUGCUAAUAGUACACGUCAUUGACGUUAAAUACAGAAGAAGCACCGGCUAACUCCGUGCCAGCAGCCGCGGUA